GCCCACUUAGCUCAGCGGCCAGAGCAGCUGUUUUGUAAACAGCAGGUCGUCGGUUCAAAUCCGACAGUGGGCUCCA
Molecule: transfer RNA, 76 nt
Filed under: Candidatus Berkelbacteria bacterium CG06_land_8_20_14_3_00_43_10
Lineage: Bacteria; Candidatus Berkelbacteria
Also listed under: 1 other name
Description: tRNA-Thr
Rfam family: tRNA
About the family: Transfer RNA (tRNA) molecules are approximately 80 nucleotides in length. Their secondary structure includes four short double-helical elements and three loops (D, anti-codon, and T loops).
Source: RNAcentral